UCCUACGGGAGGCAGCAGUGGGGAAUAUUGGACAAUGGGCGAAAGCCUGAUCCAGCCAUGCCGCGUGAGUGAAGAAGGCCCUAGGGUUGUAAAGCUCUUUCAGCGGGGAAGAUAAUGACGGUACCCGCAGAAGAAGCCCCGGCUAACUUCGUGCCAGCAGCCGCGGUAAU
RNAcentral lists this ribosomal RNA (170 nucleotides) under uncultured Sphingomonas sp. Its description in RNAcentral is "partial 16S ribosomal RNA". It matches the Rfam family "Bacterial small subunit ribosomal RNA", at positions 337 to 524 of the family's 1533-position model. The record is from RNAcentral. Lineage: Bacteria; Pseudomonadati; Pseudomonadota; Alphaproteobacteria; Sphingomonadales; Sphingomonadaceae.